AUCAUUUCAUACAAAAAAUAAUGAUUGUAAUAGAAGGUUAUAGUCCUAGAAAUAUAAAUUGUAGUUGCAACUAAAUUAAUCUGAGAACAUCGAGUGUUGAUGCAAAGGGAGUCAAAACCUCGCCUAUCACAUCUUAAUUUCAUUUGUUUUAUUACUUCUCGACAAAAUGAUACAAGUAACUUUUGAAAGAACUAUACAAAUAUGAAAAUGUAGAUAUACCAUACUUUUAGCGGCAUUGAAAAGUAAUAAAUAAUUUUCCACGAUAAAGCAGUAAGCCCACUCUCUUCUUGAUUGGUACAAACUCUUGUUUACUGGCAUACUUUAUCUAUGAAGUAAAAUUUUGUUCAGUAAUCAACUCGUCCUUCAGUAUAAUAAUACUCUAGUCACAUUAAAAUUUACAUUUGCAUAACCAUCAAAUUGCUUUAAGAAAUUAUAUAGCAGAUAUGAUUCUACCUUAUAACAUUUCACUUUUAAUUUCAUGGAUUUUCUUUGGAUGUCAUCAAUGUCUAGUCUCAUUUUUAAAACUUCAUAUCAGUAAAAAAGACAAAGAAAAGAUCUCUUUCCAAUAUGAGUAAGUAUAUGACCUAAACAUAAGCUAAAUACUUGCAGCUCAUAAUAUAACUUUUGGAUAUCAAUAAUUUUAUAACCUGCUUACUUUUUACAACCAACAGAAGUUAAAUACAUGCAGCUCAUAAUAUAACUUUUGGAUUUCAAUAAUUUUAUAACCUGCUUACUUUUUACAACACAUGAAUAAAUUAUAUAUGACCUCAAGAGAUCUCUUCAUAUAUAAUUUUAGACUGGCUCUAUGCGAUUCCACCUGUACCAAAUUGCAAGAAGAGCGCAUUGAGCAAUCAUCUAAUUUCCCUUUCAAUCAAAAAUUUCUAUUCAGAUUCCAGUCAGUCAAUGAUGAUUAGAAUGAGUAAUUAUUGCUUUCUAUGUUCAUGUCCGAAGCCAUGUCUCACGUUCAAAGUCAUAUAGUACUUUUCUGCACUUAGGUAACCAUCAGAGUGUAGAUUCUGCUUUCUAUAGUAAAUAGUUGUAAGUAAAUUACUUACAUUUGCGACUUUGUUAUUGUUGCAGUGGCAAAGGCACAUAAAAUUUUUCAUUUCACUUAUCAAAAUCAGCAGUGGAUUUCAUGUGUCAGCAAAAGAAAAAUCACAUAACUAAAAUUUGAAACACAGAAUUCUUUCUAGCCAUCAGCAAACAACUAUAAAUUAAAAAGGAGAUAAAGUAACUCCUACUUAGUAAACACAAGAAUGCCACCUUCCCAAUCAUAUACAACAAGGUCAUUGAAAUACUAAUAUUUUAUAUGCAGAAGAAAAGUUCUUAACAGUCAAACAAAGAUGAAAUGUCAAAUCCAAAUAGAUGUAAAUAUUUACAUAAUAUCAACUGAAUAUAUAAGGCAAAACUUGUUAGAAAUAACUUUUAAAAAAAAGUAACACAUUACUUUACCUGUGCAUCCAAAAUAUUAAGGUGGCCAAAAACCUUCAUAACCAUCUUUUCCCUAGUUGUUAAUGAUCGAUCACCACCAUUACAAAAUGUUUUAAACCCUCAUUCUUGUCAAAAAGCACACAACAACAUAGCGAAUUAUUAUCCCGACUAUUAAGACUAAACUUUCAGGAUAUAAUAGGUACCAUCAUAAGUUGAAACAAAGAAUAUGAGUCAGGCAUAUUCAUUAAACACAAUAGGUGCAUAGCCGUAUUCAACAUUUUUUUUUCUUGUCACAUAAAAGUAAAGGUUGACACUUUUAUGUAAUUGAUUUCUAAUAAAUUGUCCUAUUUUUGUCAGACAUUGUUGUCGUUUCUUACUUUUCUUACUGUCUGAUUGUCCUCUGUUAUAUAAAUAGUUAAAAAUUAUUAAUGCGUCUAUUCCGUGAAUUCUGCCCUAUCGACUCUAAUAUUCAAGUUUGUUUUGAAACUUCAAAGUACUAUCUCCCAUUUCGGAAAGUUUCAAUUUUUUUUGUUCAGUAAAUUAGUGAGAAUA
This 1983-nucleotide long non-coding RNA is filed under the name Nicotiana benthamiana. RNAcentral describes it as "long non-coding RNA (NBEN_LNC007670)". The record is from RNAcentral. Lineage: Eukaryota; Viridiplantae; Streptophyta; Magnoliopsida; Solanales; Solanaceae.